Non-coding RNA from Cerrena zonata, 94 nucleotides. The record is from the annotation of a GenBank genome assembly. NCBI's taxonomy places the organism in Eukaryota, Fungi, Basidiomycota, Agaricomycetes, Polyporales, Cerrenaceae.
UCCGAUAUGGUGUAACGGCUAACAUUACCGCCUUUCACUCCUCGUCUCCUUGAUGAGUUCGCGGUAGCUCGGGGUUCGAUUCCCCGUAUCGGAG